GUGUGCGAGUGACAUGCGUGCAUCGUUAAUCACUGACGUCCCAUGACCUCCGUGAGGAACAUCGGCCCGAACUGCACACCCUUCAUCCCUAUCCCUAUCGCCUUACUACGCCACGUUUCUCCUCUCUCUAUACCGAUGCACCCUGCGCGCGCGCACACGCGUAUGUACAGUACACCUCUCGGUGCCACCGCACGACAUGCGUGCACCGAGAAUGUCGAUGUGAGAGAGCGUCUGCCCCCGGAACUGCUGCAAUCAAUACCAACUGAUGUGCACACAUUUGUGCCUGUAGAGCUUUCGUGCAUGGACGUUCCCGCGCAGUGUCCACGACAUGUCCCGUAUUUCGCGAUAUUUCUUCUAGUGUAAAGGGCUACCGCGGACUUAUGGAGUUUUUUCAAAGUAGUUAGAAAUACAGCUAGAAAUUAAUUUUUAUACUUAUUUCAAGACAAAAGACUCUUUUUUCAUUUUGCAUUAGAAUUAUUGAUUCGUCUUUAUUUAUCUUAACUAAAUAUUCUGGGAAUGUUACAUAUAUACACCGAGAAUAUAGAAUUUAUAAUUGAUAGAAAUUAUCCGACAGUCUUAAUGACAUAUCAGUUAAAAUUAUCAUUGCUAAAAUAAUUAAAUAUCGAACCAUUUACGUGAAUAAGUUACAUCCAAGUGCUUCUUUAAAUAUAAGUUUCUAUUUUUAUCUGCAAUGUUACUUAUGUUCUCACCAUGACGACAUCGACACGCUAUUGACGACUCCACGUGUGUCUUUUCCUAUCAAUAAAAGAAUCCAUUGUUCUACGCUACUUAUGGGGCACCCCGGGGGCUGCUUCCUGAUCCGGAAGGAACAACGAAAGGAGAACCGAUAACGUCAAUGCGCGCACCACGCAGCUUUUCUCGCGUGUUUCGGUCGGACCACACACUGUGUACUGAGUGCCUCUAAAUGCAACCUAUUUACUCACCGCACCGCCUACAGGAUAUCUCGGGGAGAAAUGACUACCACUCUAACAAGACGUAAUGUAUACGUUUUCAGAAGAUUGUUCUUUUCCGCUAUUGUAACCGGUCGCGCCAAGGGACGUCUAGCACUUGCCUUUGCUCUCUUUUUCUCUUUAUCAUUUUACUGUUAACAUUUUUUUACGAUAACGUUAUCGAUAUAUUUCGCAUCGGAUUAUCGGAUUAAUCACUGAUCUUUUAAAAAUAAUAAAAA
Molecule: long non-coding RNA, 1189 nt
Filed under: Ooceraea biroi (clonal raider ant)
Lineage: Eukaryota; Metazoa; Arthropoda; Insecta; Hymenoptera; Formicidae
Description: uncharacterized LOC105278078, transcript variant X2
Source: RNAcentral